This 408-nucleotide ribosomal RNA is filed under the name uncultured bacterium. Its description in RNAcentral is "partial 16S ribosomal RNA". It matches the Rfam family "Bacterial small subunit ribosomal RNA", at positions 28 to 526 of the family's 1533-position model. The record is from RNAcentral.
GACGAACGCUGGCGGCGUGCUUAACACAUGCAAGUCGAACGGAGUGGCGAACGGGUGAGUAAAACGUGGGUGACCUGCCCUGCAAUUCGGGAUAAGCCUGGGAAACUGGGUCUAAUACCGGAUAGUGUGGGAUGGGCCCGCGGCCUAGCAGCUUGUUGGUUGGGUAAUGGCCUACCAAGGCGGCGACGGGUAGCCCGCCUGAGAGGGUGGACGGCCACAUGGGGACUGAGACACGGACCAGACGCCUACGGGACGCAGUAGGGGGGAAGAUUGCACAAUGGGCGGAAGCCUGAUGCAGAGGCGCCGCGUUGGGGAUGACGGCCUUCGGGUUGUAAACUCCUUUCACCAUCGACGCGGUAGAUGGAGAAGAAGCACCGGCUAACUACGUGCCAGCAGCCGCGGUAAUAC